AUUAUUAUGCAUACAGUGUUUUGGCUGCAUGUACACCUACAGAGAAGAUUAGCAUGGCCCCUGAGCAAGGAUGACAUGCAAAUUCAUGAAGCAAAUACUUUACAA
Small nuclear RNA from Acomys russatus (golden spiny mouse), 105 nucleotides. NCBI's taxonomy places the organism in Eukaryota, Metazoa, Chordata, Mammalia, Rodentia, Muridae. The record is from RefSeq and is a predicted model, not a curated record.